This 488-nucleotide ribosomal RNA is filed under the name uncultured bacterium. RNAcentral's name for it is "partial 16S ribosomal RNA". It matches the Rfam family "Bacterial small subunit ribosomal RNA", at positions 28 to 507 of the family's 1533-position model. The record is from RNAcentral.
GACGAACGCUGGCGGCGUGCUUAACACAUGCAGGUCGAACGGACAGACCAUGAUUUUGUGGGGUGCUCGAUUGGCGCGGGGGUGAGUAAAACGUGAGUAUAACGCACUUGACUUUGGGGUAAAUUCAGGAGAAUGGGGAUCAUAUAGGAUAGGAGCUUCUGAUGCGUGGUGGGGGAUGGUGAGAGUCGGCGGUUGGGGCUGGUCUAGAGGUGUAUUAGCUUGUUGGUGAGGUAACGGAUUACACGGGCUAUGAAGGGUAGCCGACCUGAGAGGGGGAUCGGCCGCCCUGGAACUGAGACACGGUCCAGACUCCUACGGGAGGCAGCAGUCGGGAAUCUUCCGCAAUGGGCGAAAGCAUGACGCAGCAACGCCGCGUGAGUGAUGAAGGUCUUCGGAUCGUAAAAAUCUGUUAUUAGGGAAGAACAUAUGUGUAAGUAAAUGUGCACAUCUUGACGGUACCUAAUCAGAAAGCCCCGGCUAACUACGUG